GGUUUUCUGCUCCUCCUCCCCUCGUUUGGUGGAUCGCGGGAGUGCUCCCAGCGGGAAAAUGCUACGUGCAGGCUGAGCGUGGCUGGGGUGGAAGUGAAAGUGAAAAAAAGAUAGCGACAGACGUUUUUUUGUUUGUUUCUGAUAUCCUCUCUCUGAUGACCAGUGAUAAACCCGAGGGAACGGCAUGGAGCUGCUUCAGGGGAGGGUCAGGUUUGUCAUACAGAAGUGAGAGCCCUGCCUGCUGAUCAGCCCCCUUGCUCAUUUGGUUCCAAGGACAACUUUAACACCAUGAGGUUCUACUAAGUUGUGUGGACCAGAAUUGUACCACUUCUCAAAGUAUAGCUCUAUGUGCCCAGUUUGCACAGAACAGCAAAUUAAUGCCAUCUCUCUUAUUCUCGAUGUUUGGUAUUAAGUUUUCGUUGACUUUGUUUUGGCUGCUGCCUCCUACAGAGCCAGUGGUUUCAGGAGGGUAACUGAACUCUGAGGUGUCUUUCCUCAGGUGGAAGUAUAACCAUGGAGCUUACCAUUAUGCAAAUGUAGUUUCGAUUAUUUUUUUUUCAUAUGUGCACUGUGUUAUACUUCCUUACACUGAAGCUUCUCUGCUACUUCUCUUUUGUUCAUUCAGCUCUUUGACUCACAGCCAAGUUUUGCUUGAAAACCUGCCCUCAUUGACUUCUCUGGUUCCUUGCUUGUCUGUUUUCCUUAUUUCCCGAUAGCACUGCUGCCUUUCCCUGAUAACUCAGUGUUUACUUUCAUUUUCCAUUUUCCAUUUUCCCCUCCCACCACACUGAUCUGACCCAGUUCACAAGCAUUCCAGAGCCAAGCAGCCAGUGCUUCUUUUCCUUUUAAUAGUAUGUUUAAGAGAUCACUUUUAUGUGUGACUUUCUGUUCUCUUGGCUAACUACUUAAAACUGUCUUUGUGCAAGAUUUCAGGUACUUCACAACAAAUUAUACAGAAAUAGCCAGGUAAAAACAGAGGAGAAUGGAGUUGCCUUUUUUUUUUCUCCAAGGCAGAUCUUUGUGUUUAGAAUCAAUGUAGAGAGUAUAAAUCUGUUUCGAAAUUAACUUAUACUAAACAUUUUUCACUUUCUUCAACCGUACCUUUAUCAUUUUGUCUUUUGUACAGCAGGAAAUGAUGCUGAAGAGCAAAUGUGCUAACUAUGUGAAAAGCACUAUUCUCCUGGAACAUUAUUUUCAAGUUCUGCUUUUCUAGCAAAAAAGGAAGCACAGCAGUAUUAGCCACGUAUAUCCUGCUGGAUUCUUCUAUGCCAGUCAUGAGUCUAUGUGCCACCCAGUUUGCCAUUAAUAGCAGCAUUCAAACAUUUCUGAAAUAUUAUGUGUACAUUGAAAAUAUCUUUGAUGCAUACCUGAGGAACUGAAACACACGGGGUUCUGGGAUGCCAUUCUCUCACUGCAAGAGUGCUGUCAGGAACAGAGGGAGGGAACCAGAUCUCCUGCCACUUACAGAGACCACUGUGCUUUUCUGAACCUCCUCUUGAAGGCUAUAGGCCAGAAAAUCAGCCAUUGCUUGCAACAUUUACUGUAGAUUGCUAGUACUUGUACAUCCUCAGAGGGCACAUCCAGGUCUGGGUUUACACUGCAGUAACAAUCAGACAUAGGCUUUACAUGUAAUGCAGAGAGCAUCAUCUGAAUACACACUCAGCUGAAGCAAAAAUUAGAGAGAGAUUUCAUAAUUGCCAUUUCCUAAGAAAGCUCAGAGAAAAUUAUGAAGAACAGGAAGUCUUGAGUAAACUUCAGUGUUAAGUUCUCUGUACUUUUUUUUUUUUUCCCCUGGAAAUACAGAUCCCUCUUUCAAAAAGGAGCCCAGUUCAAAAAUGCCAAUGUUUUACUUUACUGAUACUCUUCAGACAUUGUUUCAGAAUCUUUUUGCAACAGAUGUAAAUCUUGUGUUGAGAUAAACUGGUGAUCAUUAAAAAAUUAAAUUGAUUUUGG
Molecule: long non-coding RNA, 1953 nt
Filed under: Gallus gallus (chicken)
Lineage: Eukaryota; Metazoa; Chordata; Aves; Galliformes; Phasianidae
Description: lncRNA (ENSGALG00010003893.1)
Source: RNAcentral